This 505-nucleotide ribosomal RNA is filed under the name uncultured bacterium. RNAcentral describes it as "partial 16S ribosomal RNA". It matches the Rfam family "Bacterial small subunit ribosomal RNA", at positions 28 to 507 of the family's 1533-position model. The record is from RNAcentral.
GACGAACGCUGGCGGCGUGCCUAAUACAUGCAAGUAGAACGCACAGUUUAUACCGUAGCUUGCUCCACCAUAAACUGUGAGUUGCGAACGGGUGAGUAACGCGUAGGUAACCUGCCUGGUAGCGGGGGAUAACUAUUGGAAACGAUAGCUAAUACCGCAUAAUAUUGAUUAUUGCAUGAUAAUUGAUUGAAAGAUGCUAUUGCAUCACUACCAGAUGGACCUUCGUUGUAUUAGCUAGUAGGUGAGGUAACGGCUCACCUAGGCGACGAUACAUAGACGACCUGAGAGGAUGAGCGGCCACACUGGGACUGAGACACGGCCCAGACUCCUACGGGAGGCAGCAGUAGGGAAUCUUCGGCAAUGGACGAAAGUCUGACCGAGCAACGCCGAGUGAGUGAAGAAGGUUUUCGGAUCGUAAAGCUCUGUUGUAAGAGAAGAACGGGUGUGAGAGUGGAAAGUUCACACUGUGACGGUAUCUUACCAGAAAGGGACGGCUAACUACGUG